UUUGGGAUCAAUUCCUAUAGCUUUUAUUGAUAGUAUUACGUUAUUUUUGGUUAGAUUCGAGCCUUUCAGAGAUUGAUACGCGUGGGGAGGGCUUGCUAGCGGAGUGAUUUAAUUUGUUUGAGAUCUAGGUGUGGGGACUAGUUAUCAGCAGUAGGUUGCUUGUGGACUAUCUGCUAGAGGUGAGGUAGAGCUGCAUCCUUGGUCGCAGUUUGACUUGUCUUUUCCUUCAUACUGUUGUUAUAGUUCAGACAGUGUAUUUAUUAUUCAAUUUCAGACUUGUAUUCCGUUGUAGUA
Nicotiana tabacum (common tobacco) is the source of this 294-nucleotide non-coding RNA. The record is from RefSeq and is a predicted model, not a curated record. Lineage: Eukaryota; Viridiplantae; Streptophyta; Magnoliopsida; Solanales; Solanaceae.